Long non-coding RNA from Equus caballus (horse), 3055 nucleotides. The record is from Ensembl. NCBI's taxonomy places the organism in Eukaryota, Metazoa, Chordata, Mammalia, Perissodactyla, Equidae.
CAGCAAGCUUCCUAUUGAUCAGUGUAUUAGUCAGGACAGGUUGCCAGUGACGGAACUUCAACUCAGAUUUCCUCAAACCAAAAUUAAGGUGGGGGUGGGCCAGGUGUUGGCUCUCCCAACCGAAAAGUUCAAGCAACACCCUCCAGAUGCCCAAAUGAUGUUAUCAAGGCUCCAUCGCUUGUUCUACCCUUGGCUCUGAUGGGUUCAUUCUCCAGACAGACUCUGCAUGGGGAGGCAGGAAAUACGCUGGCAGCCCCAAGCCUGCCCAAGCCUCAUAUCUCACAGCUGCACAGAAGGAGACACGGCCUCCCAGGUGGCCAGCAAAGGUCCUGGGGAGGAUCUGGGGUCCUUGGUCAUGGGUUUGGGUCAUGAGUCCACUGUGCCCAAGGGUCAGGGUUGGCGUGGUGUGAGUAGAGAGAGCCCCACCCAAAGCAAACAGGAAUGCACAUACUACAGAGAAAUGGCUCCCUCAAGGACAGCGUGCUGGACAGACAAACCAGGUGUCCAUUCCAAUAACACAGUCUCCUAAGCUUCCUCUGGCCUCCUUGCACCUAGAACAGACUUUCAACAAGAGGAUUUCAUCUUUCCCAACCAAAGAGCGUGCCAGGGAUUCCUGCUGGGGGGGCCUGUGCAUCCCCCUGAGUUUGGAGGGCGGGGAAACGAGGCACUGAUGUGAGUCUUUCCUCAGGAGUGUGGUCACAGCUGUGGUGUCUCUGACACUCCCAGUGACCUGAGGCUGGAAUGACAGGCUCCCCCUGGAGAAAGGGCAGGUGGCGGGGGACUCUGGGAACAGGGGCCGGGCUGAGAUGUCUCCACGUCCCAGGCUCAUUUCCAGCCUGGCCAAAGUUCAUGUGUCAGAUCCUUUCCCUUCUGAUGGAAAUAUUUCUUAGGCUUUUUCAAAGGCCACUAGGCCCUUCCCAGCACCCUCACGGGGAGGAGACUUCACGCUCCUGGAGCCUCGCUCGGGGGUGGGGCCCUGAGGAGCUUCAGGGUACUCCUUGAACAGCACCCAGGGUGGAGCUUGAGGGCUGCAUAGCCUACACCUUGGGCUUGGAGAUGCCGAAUCUGAGCAAGUGAGGGCCUAUCAUGAACCUUGCCCGGAACUGGCCACUUCUCACACUUCCUCUCAUCUGAACCUCACAAAGCCCACAGAGGUGGGUGUCGUGGGCACCGCACCCACAGAUGAGGGACCGAGGCUCUCGGAGUGGAGGACCCUACCUGAGACCACACGGCUGGGGGCGAAGAGACAGAUCGGGUCUGGCUGGUUCAGAGCGUGGCUUCCUGCUUGCUGUCUUCUUGCUCCACUGCCUCAGCUGUCCCCUGCAAUGAAACCCUCCUCCACAUUGGGCCAUGCACUUCUCCUGGGACAGACCUCCCUCGGAGUUCAUGUCCAGGUCUCAAGGUUUGGCCUCACUUGGAGUGGAAUCAAGAUUCGCCAGCUCAGAGGAAGGUGGACCGGGCUCCCGGGUCUACUGGAAGUUUUCUACGUUUCACUUACCUCCCUCCUCUCUAUUGUCAACAUACACACAUGUAACACACUCACACUCACAUGCUCAUACAUAUUGUGCACUCACACAUGUACACAGACAUGCAUAUGCACGCACAUACACACAUGCACAUACAUUCACACAAGUGCACACAUGUGUAUACACACACACUCGCGCACACACAUGGCAUUUCUGUCUGACACACAGGAGGCUCUGGGGUGACCCAGGUCUGCAUGGCCUCUGUGCACGUCGUGUCUCAUCUGUGAUCCUCUCUAGCAAUUUCCAAGGGGGAAGUGAUACCCCAAGCCCUCACGUCCUUAGAGCGAGAAAGGAGUAUAGAAAUACCGUGUACACUGGAGGGGCGGCAUUCGUCCUCGUCACACAGCCAGGUCUAGAUCGGGUCUCCUCAAUCCCGUCUGCAGCCCUCUUCCUCCGUCCCGCACCACAUAUCACCCCUCACACCUAAGACUGAAAUGUGCAGCGCCUUCCAGUCCUAGGUCCAUGGGCACAAAGCAGGCACAGCCGAGCUGCAGAUACCAGAUCGCCGGGGCCUGGAGAGCACCCGGCCUGCUUCCCACCCCACGAGGACGCGGGUCCCACCCCGAGACUCCGAUCCCAUUGGCCUGCAGGGCGGUGAUUUUUUAAACUUUCCAGACCCUUGACAGUGUUAAGGGUGAACUCAAGGGCAGGGAGUCCUCCAGGAGGCUGUUACAUUAGGUCAGAAAUGACGGAGGCCUGGGCUGAGAGACUGGCAGUGCCACUGAAUUAGAGACGUCACUUCCUCCAUCAACAACUACGUGUCACACGCCUGAGCGCUGGGGAGAGAGCUGCAGACAAGACAGGUGGGCUUCCCGCCAUCAGAGAGCUCAGCUCCUGGAGCAGCGCUGCCUACAGAACUUUCUGUGAAGAUGAAAACGCUCUCACGUGUGGCUAUUGAGCACUUGGGAUGAAAGAUUUUCUGUGAUACUGCAUUGAAACGUGUGCCAUGGCAACCCCUGCCGUAGGUAAGCACCUUGCACACAGGUUACGGAAACAGGGCCCAUAACCAGGUAGGGAUGCGGAGAAGAGCAUAGGAAGGGAAAGAACUGAACCUGCGCCACCUUGAAACUCAGCACAGAGAAGCAAGGCUCUGUCCGCUGACUGAGGAGGGCGGGAGCCAGCUCCAGCAUUCCCAGGAAACCUAGGGAUUGGAUUCUGCAGCCUGAGGACCCUCCCACGCCUCUCCCCACCUACUCCUCCCUCUUUCCUCACUUCUUGUCUGAAUUGCCCUUCCUCCUUUCCCAGGGCACUGUCCUUGUCUUCUUCUCUCCCUUGGUCUUCCUUAGAGAAUUUCAGACACCGGAAGUUGGUAGCGGUGGCCCUGCUCACACACACCACCACUGCGAGCCUCAGUUUCAUGGCCUGGGAAUGAAAGUCCCAGGGCCAGGUCCACUGUAGAUCGCUCCCGAUCACCGUCCAGCUACAGAUGGCUCCCCAUCACUGUCCAGCUGUAGAUCACUCCCCAUCACCAUCCAGCCACGGCCAGAGCCACUGUCCCUUCACUGUCCCCAGCUCUGAAAAUAGGUUUU